AGGAAUUUAGUCCUUUCAUGUUGCCUUAUUGUCAUUUUAUCUUCUGGUUUCUCUAUAUCUUCAUCUCUUGUUCACUCCGUCUCUCACUUUUCUCUAAACCAAUCUUUUUAGUUUUCUAUUCUUUUUCUUCUUCAAUGGCUAAAACCCUAAAUAUUCCUCUUCAGCCCCUAGAAAGAGCUCUCGUUUCAAGAUGGAGAAAAUUUGGGAGUCUCAAAGAAAACUAGUGCUGACGUUGGUUUCAUGCAUAUCAAAUUGAAUCAAGUAAUUCAUGAGGCCAUUAAACUUGCUACUAAGAUUCGCCCUAGUACUGAUGCUAUCUCCACUGUGAUUACUACUCAGUUCACAAACCUGAAGGAUGCCACAAUAAAAAACUAGGCUUAUUUUCUUUGUCGCGGAGAAUGCUAAAUCCCCUCUACAUGUUUCUUAUUCCCGACCCUUGUGUUGCUCGUUUAAGAUAACUUUUUUGGUUUUGGUUCUGUAAUUAAGCAUAAGCUCACUAUUGCUACUUUACUUGCAUGUUUUGCUAGUUGUUCUCUAUUUAUUUUGCAUACUCUGUUAUUCUUCCUUUCUGAUAGAUGUCAAAGGAGAAAAAAUAGAAAACUUAUUUACAGGUAUAAACACAAGUCGAAUAGUUCGGCUAUCUAGGGGGGACUACUCAGGGGGGAGUUAAAAUGGGGGAAGUGGCUACACCUUAAGUUUUAAGUUAUAAUCCUCAAAAAGGGGAGAUUGUUUAUGUUUGAUUUUGAUGUUUGACAACCUUGCUUGCAGGAACUCUCUAGCAUCAAUCAAGGAUCCAUUUUGGAAAUCAAAUAUUCCAUGUAUCAAAAAGGAAGAAUUGCAAUAUUCUUCCUUGAAGAAAAAGAUUCAGUCAAUCAGUAAAAGAGUAAAAGAAGGCUGGGUGUGAAAAAGGAAAAAGAUUUCAAGAUCCUUUCUUUUAGGAAGCAAAUCGCGGAUCAAUGGACCAUUAUUAUGAUCCAAUCUUAUUCUUGAAAAGAGGAUAUUUCACAUCCAAUUUCCAAUGAUCAAAUCUCUUGGGUUGUCUUGGUUAAAAAUUCUUCAAAUGGCUAUUACUAAGUUCGCCUAUUUAAAGGCUUGAAAGAUUAUCGAAGAGAUAUACUAUUGUC
Molecule: long non-coding RNA, 1124 nt
Organism: Capsicum annuum
Lineage: Eukaryota; Viridiplantae; Streptophyta; Magnoliopsida; Solanales; Solanaceae
Exons: 2
Source: RefSeq, a predicted model, not a curated record